RNAcentral lists this ribosomal RNA (650 nucleotides) under uncultured Glomus. RNAcentral's name for it is "SSU rRNA". It matches the Rfam family "Eukaryotic small subunit ribosomal RNA", at positions 624 to 1276 of the family's 1831-position model. Lineage: Eukaryota; Fungi; Glomeromycota; Glomeromycetes; Glomerales; Glomeraceae. The record is from RNAcentral.
AAGCUCGUAGUUGAAUUUCGGGAUCAAAUUGUCGGUCGUGCCUCGGUACGUACUGGCGUUAUUGGUUCCUCCCUUCUGAAGAACCACGAUGUCAUUAAUUUGGUGUCGCGGGGAAUCAGGACUGUUACUUUGUAAAAAUUAGAGUGUUUAAGGCAGGCUCGCGCUUGAAUACAUUAGCAUGGAAUAAUGAAGUAGGACGUUUGAUUCUAUUUUGUUGGUUUCUAGGAUCGACGUAAUGAUUAAUAGGGAUAGUUGGGGGCAUUAGUAUUCAAUUGUCAGAGGUGAAAUUCUUGGAUUUAUUGAAGACUAACUACUGCGAAAGCAUUUGCCAAGGAUGUUUUCAUUAAUCAAGAACGAAAGUUAGGGGAUCGAAGACGAUCAGAUACCGUCGUAGUCUUAACCAUAAACUAUGCCGACUAGGGAUCGGAUGAUGUUAAUUUUUUAAUGACUCAUUCGGCGCCUUACGGGAAACCAAAGUGUUUGGGUUCCGGGGGGAGUAUGGUCGCAAGGCUGAAACUUAAAGGAAUUGACGGAAGGGCACCACCAGGGGUGGAGCCUGCGGCUUAAUUUGACUCAACACGGGGAAACUCACCAGGUCCAGACAUAGUAAGGAUUGACAGAUUGAGAGCUCUUUCUUGAUUCUAUGGGUG